Molecule: ribosomal RNA, 689 nt
Filed under: Frigoribacterium faeni
Lineage: Bacteria; Bacillati; Actinomycetota; Actinomycetes; Micrococcales; Microbacteriaceae
Description: bacterial SSU rRNA
Rfam family: Bacterial small subunit ribosomal RNA
Source: RNAcentral
GGGAGGCAGCAGUGGGGAAUAUUGCACAAUGGGCGAAAGCCUGAUGCAGCAACGCCGCGUGAGGGAUGACGGCCUUCGGGUUGUAAACCUCUUUUAGUAGGGAAGAAGCGAAAGUGACGGUACCUGCAGAAAAAGCACCGGCUAACUACGUGCCAGCAGCCGCGGUAAUACGUAGGGUGCAAGCGUUGUCCGGAAUUAUUGGGCGUAAAGAGCUCGUAGGCGGUUUGUCGCGUCUGCUGUGAAAUCUGGGGGCUCAACCCCCAGCCUGCAGUGGGUACGGGCAGACUAGAGUGCGGUAGGGGAGAUUGGAAUUCCUGGUGUAGCGGUGGAAUGCGCAGAUAUCAGGAGGAACACCGAUGGCGAAGGCAGAUCUCUGGGCCGUAACUGACGCUGAGGAGCGAAAGCAUGGGGAGCGAACAGGAUUAGAUACCCUGGUAGUCCAUGCCGUAAACGUUGGGAACUAGAUGUGGGGGCCAUUCCACGGUCUCCGUGUCGCAGCUAACGCAUUAAGUUCCCCGCCUGGGGAGUACGGCCGCAAGGCUAAAACUCAAAGGAAUUGACGGGGGCCCGCACAAGCGGCGGAGCAUGCGGAUUAAUUCGAUGCAACGCGAAGAACCUUACCAAGGCUUGACAUAUACCGGAAACGUCCAGAGAUGGUCGCCCCGCAAGGUCGGUAUACAGGUGGUGCA